UCAGACGAUGCGUCAUGCAUAUCAAUAAGCGGAGGAAAAGAAACUAACAAGGAUUCCCCUAGUAACGGCGAGUGAAGCGGGAAGAGCUCAAAUUUGAAAUCUUAAAGGGUUUCCCUUUACGAAUUGUAGUUUAAAGAAGUGUUUUCUGUUGAGGUUUUGGUAAAAGUUCUUUGGAAUAGGACAUCAUAGAGGGUGAGAAUCCCGUAUUUGACCUUUACUUUCAACUUUGUGAUACACUUUCAAAGAGUCGGAUUGUUUGGGAAUGCAGUCCAAAAUGGGUGGUAAAUUUCAUCUAAAGCUAAAUAUUGGCGAGAGACCGAUAGCGAACAAGUACCGUGAGGGAAAGAUGAAAAGAACUUUGAAAAGAGAGUUGAACAGUACGUGAAAUUGUCAAAAGGGAAGCGUUUGACACCAGUGUUGUUUUUCUGAAAAUCAAUUAAAGAACUGUUUAUGCUAAGUUGUUUAGACUUUAUCAGCUAAUCUGUUUAGUUUUGAGCUUUUCUUUAAUGCACUUUUCAGUUAACAAGUCAACAUCAAUUUCUUUGCUGUAAAAUAGCUUGAGGAAGGUGGCUUGAGAUUCGUCUUAAGUGUUUAUAGCCUCUUGCCUAUGCAGUCGGAGAGAUUGAGGUCUGCAGCGUAGAUCCUUCGGGGCUAAAUGCAUUUGUGCUAAGUUAUAGCAUUUUAUAGACAACUUGUUGACUAUGAUUUGUCUUGUAGCUUACUCGCUUAUGUUAUUUUACCUACGCUUAGGAUGUUGACACACGCGCGUGCUCG
RNAcentral lists this ribosomal RNA (774 nucleotides) under uncultured Neocallimastigales. RNAcentral's name for it is "partial large subunit ribosomal RNA". It matches the Rfam family "Eukaryotic large subunit ribosomal RNA", at positions 18 to 646 of the family's 3401-position model. Lineage: Eukaryota; Fungi; Neocallimastigomycota; Neocallimastigomycetes; Neocallimastigales. The record is from RNAcentral.